This 468-nucleotide ribosomal RNA is filed under the name uncultured bacterium. RNAcentral's name for it is "partial 16S ribosomal RNA". It matches the Rfam family "Bacterial small subunit ribosomal RNA", at positions 28 to 507 of the family's 1533-position model. The record is from RNAcentral.
GACGAACGCUGGCGGCGUGCUUAACACAUGCAAGUCGAACGGAAAGGCCCUGCUUUUGUGGGGUGCUCGAGUGGCGAACGGGUGAGUAACACGUGAGUAACCUGCCCUUGACUUUGGGAUAACUUCAGGAAACUGGGGCUAAUACCGGAUAGGAGCUCCUGCUGCAUGGUGGGGGUUGGAAAGUUUCGGCGGUUGGGGAUGGACUCGCGGCUUAUCAGCUUGUUGGUGGGGUAGUGGCUUACCAAGGCUUUGACGGGUAGCCGGCCUGAGAGGGUGACCGGCCACAAUGGGACUGAGGUACGGCCCAGACUCCUACGGGAGGCAGCAGUGGGGAAUAUGGCACAAUGGGCGGAAGCCUGAUGCAGCAACGCCGCGUGCGGGAUGACGGCCUUCGGGUUGUAAACCGCUUUCGCCUGUGACGAAGCGUGAGUGACGGUAAUGGGUAAAGAAGCACCGGCUAACUACGUG